RNAcentral lists this ribosomal RNA (253 nucleotides) under uncultured bacterium. RNAcentral describes it as "partial 16S ribosomal RNA". It matches the Rfam family "Bacterial small subunit ribosomal RNA", at positions 524 to 776 of the family's 1533-position model. The record is from RNAcentral.
UACGUAGGGUCCGAGCGUUGUCCGGAAUUACUGGGCGUAAAGAGCUCGUAGGUGGUUUGUCGCGUUGUUCGUGAAAACUCACAGCUUAACUGUGGCGUGCGGGCGAUACGGGCAGACUUGAGUACUGCAGGGGAGACUGGAAUUCCUGGUGGAGCGGUGAAAUGCGUAGAGAUUGGAAAGAACACCGAUGGCGAAGGCACUUUACUGGGCUAUUACUAACACUCAGAGACGAAAGCUAAGGGUAGCAAAUGGG